UUAAAUGACCGCCUAUCCAAAGAGGAAGCCGAUUUUGGAAGCCCGGGGAGGAGCAGUGCUAGCUCUCCAAGAGAAAGGCGUGCGGCUGCAAUCCCACCAGCUGAGCCCCUUAAAUCCCCACUGGAUGCACUUCCUCACUGGUAGCACGUGUGCCUUCGUCCAGCUCCUUACAGGAUGGGCAUCGGCCUUCCCUCCCGCUGGCGUGACGCACUUCGGGGCACAGUGAGGUUCAGCUUCCUGCUGCUUACAGGAUUUACAAGUGACGGGUGAGGGGGACCACGGGCACCGCAUCGCGCCAGCAGCUGCGAGGCACGGCAGAGGGCAGCCUCACGCACUCAGCCAAGGAAGACCUCGCCGCGGGGAGCAGAGAGCGACACAGGGCCGAGCGGAGGAGGCCCAGCUGAAUCAGAGCCAUCGCCUAGUCUUGGGACACGACCUGCAGACACAAAAACCACAACACCGUGCCUGAGAAGGUCGAUUCACCAGACACUCUCAGGUUCAUUCAGUUAUACACGACUCAAUUCCUAAAUAUACACUCCAUAAAAAUGCAUUCAGUGUAUAUUUUCUGGGGCAGUAUGUAGCCCGUCAGGUUAUGGAUCAGUGAAUAUUUGGAAGGUUGUUUGUUCGAAUCCCAUGUAAUAUCAUAUCACUAGGGACAUGUUUACUUUAGCGAAUUUUCACAGCGAGACAUAAAGGAGAAAGACUCAUUCAAUGUGACUACCAUAAAACGCUGUUAUCCAUCAAUCUUCUGUCCUCUUAUCCUGGUGAGGGGUACCAGGGGACACACAUUCAUUAUCUCACUGGUACACUACAAGCAAGAUAAAGACACCAAUCACCCAAACUACUGGGAUAUUGCAGUACCUGAAGGAAACAGGCAAAACAUGCAAAGCCCACACAGAGCAGCGGUGAGAUCUGAACCCCGAAUGGCGCAGGCAUGAGGCAGCAGUGCCACCCACCACACUGCCGACCUAAUCUGUCACUAGGGGUCCAAGCACCAGUGGCACUGGAUCCACGUGGCUUUUGUAAUACUUUUUGUAAGAUACAGAUGUUUGCCUUUGUAAAGCGUGCAUCCAGAACGCAACGCUUCCACAGUACUACGACAGGCGGAUUCCCCUGCUGGCGAUGUCUCACUCCCCCUCUGUCCUGCUGAGCUGACCAUGACUGCAGCUCACCGGCUCAGGUGCAAAGGCCAAGCAAAAAAAAAGUGGGGUGUCACUCCUCAGCAUGAAAGCAAACAACAGACGUGACCCCCUAACCCCCGCAAACCUCAGCGCGGUAGGAUUAAUAAAGAAAAGGGGUGAAAACGCAAUGACCAACAUAACCAGUAGAUGGCACUGCAGAUACCUUACAGAAUACGAGCACCCCCAUGAAGGGGGUUGUGGCAGGACCAAACAGCUGAUGGCUAUUUAGCUGAGCAGCUCUUUUUCCUGGUCAAUAGCAAAAUUCCUAAAAGCUGCCUUUCUGAACUGCACCUUUCACAGUCCAUGGAUGGGAACAAUUGAGGAGAGCGUCUAGCAGAAGACGACACCCUCUCUACGAAACAGACUUUCAAGAAAAGACGUGUGAACAGAAAGAUGCGGCUGGCAUGCAGGUGGAUCUAGGCUUUGGCUUAACAUCGAUGCGUGAGGUUAAAGCCUAGUCAAAACAACGCCUCCCAACACGCUCACGCGGUGAAAGGUGCGGAAAGGAAUCUGGAGGGCCUGUUUACAUUCUGUCGUUUACAACUGUAUCAACGCUAUCGCUAAAAGCUACAACUGAGCCACCAUGGCUCUUCCUACAAACACGUCCCCAUUGAGAUUUCAUCGUGAUUCACCUGCAGUGACGUCCCAGUCACAAAAAUAGGGGUUUAUUUUCUGAAAGAUGAAAUGCAUUCAGGCUCAGUUGGAACAGAAACGUCGCCACCGGCCACGAGUCUGGAAAAAGCACCACGCCUUUACGUCGGAGCUGAAGCAGAAAACAGCCAUGCAGGUGUUAAGUGCGAUACGACGCCCUCGUCCGAGGGAUGGGGGAUGGACAGCUGGUCGACUCAUGAUACUAUCGCACGAAAGAUCUGUUUGCGCUCUGGGAGGGAUCUGUGUGCCAUAAAAACAUCUCAGGCUGCGUAUCACGGUUCGACAUCUGUUAUUGAGAAUUUGUGGAUGCUGCCAAACCAUGUUUUGGAUGUAAUAUUUUGGACAUUUCCACAGCAAAACUGUUUUAAAUGGUGAAAGUCAAUGUUAAUUAUCAUUUGGCAAAUGUUAUUUUGAAAUCAUAAUGAUUUCAAGCAUAAACGCAGUGCAGGUGUACCAUUGCUUUGGUUUUCUGCAAUCAGUUCAAAACAAAUGCCAACAUCUUUCUUACUGUACAAGUGGCAGUAAUUAAAUGAUGUUAUUAUA
Long non-coding RNA from Brienomyrus brachyistius, 2375 nucleotides. RefSeq lists it as uncharacterized. The record is from RefSeq and is a predicted model, not a curated record. NCBI's taxonomy places the organism in Eukaryota, Metazoa, Chordata, Actinopteri, Osteoglossiformes, Mormyridae. The transcript is spliced from 3 exons.